RNAcentral lists this ribosomal RNA (518 nucleotides) under uncultured microorganism. RNAcentral's name for it is "bacterial SSU rRNA". It matches the Rfam family "Bacterial small subunit ribosomal RNA", at positions 9 to 517 of the family's 1533-position model. The record is from RNAcentral.
GAGUUUGAUCGUGGCUCAGGAUGAACGCUAGCUACAGGCUUAACACAUGCAAGUCGAGGGCAUCAGGAAGGAAGCUUGCUUUCUUCGCUGGCGACCGGCGCACGGGUGAGUAACACGUAUCCAACCUGCCGAUGACUCGGGGAUAGCCUUUCGAAAGAAAGAUUAAUACCCGAUGGCAUAGUUCUUCCGCAUGGUAGGACUAUUAAAGAAUUUCGGUCAUCGAUGGGGAUGCGUUCCAUUAGCUUGUUGGCGGGGUAACGGCCCACCAAGGCAUCGAUGGAUAGGGGUUCUGAGAGGAAGGUCCCCCACAUUGGAACUGAGACACGGGUCCAAACUCCUACGGGAGGCAGCAGUGAGGAAUAUUGGUCAAUGGGCGCUAGCCUGAACCAGCCAAGUAGCGUGAAGAUGACUGCCCUAUGGGUUGUAAACUUCUUUUAUAUGGGAAUAAAGUGCAGUAUGUAUACUGCCUUUGCAUGUACCUUAUGAAUAAGGAUCGGCUAACUCCGUGCCAGCCGCCG